GGGCCCGCACAAGCGGUGGAGCAUGUGGUUUAAUUCGAUGAUACGCGAGGAACCUUACCAGGGUUUAAAUGCAGAACGACAGGGGUGGAAACACCCCCUUCUUCGGACGGACUGCAAGGUGCUGCAUGGUUGUCGUCAGCUCGUGCUGUGAAGUGUCGGGUUAAGUCCCAUAACGAGCGCAACCCCCAUUUCUAGUUGCCAGCGGUUCGGCCGGGGACUCUAGAGAAACUGCCCGUGAUAAGCGGGAGGAAGGUGUGGAUGACGUCAAGUCCUCAUGGCCCUUACGGGUUGGGCUACACACGUGCUACAAUGGUGGUGACAAUGGGUUAAUCCCAAAAAGCCAUCUCAGUUCGGAUUGGGGUCUGCAACUCGACCCCAUG
Molecule: ribosomal RNA, 380 nt
Filed under: uncultured bacterium
Lineage: Bacteria
Description: bacterial SSU rRNA
Rfam family: Bacterial small subunit ribosomal RNA
Source: RNAcentral